Non-coding RNA from Cricetulus griseus (Chinese hamster), 2201 nucleotides. Lineage: Eukaryota; Metazoa; Chordata; Mammalia; Rodentia; Cricetidae. The record is from RefSeq and is a predicted model, not a curated record.
GACAGCAUCUCUCUCUGGCCUGGAACUGGUUAAGUAGGCUCAGGUAGGGGCCAUGGAGCUCCAGGGAUCCACCUGUCUGCUUCCCCAGUUAGGAUUACAAGUUAAGUUCUACCACACCCUGGUUUUUGUUUGUUUAUUUUGCUUGUUUUUUGAGACAGGGUCUCAUAUAGCCAACCCCAGCUUGCUUCCAUCUCCUUGUAUAGCUGAAGUGACCUGAACUUCUGGUCCAUCUGCCUCUACCUCCCUGGACUGGGAUUACAGGCACAGUCACAUCCCUGGCCAAGACUGAAGACUGAAGUCACCGACAGAAGAACCGCCGAGGCCAGUGCUAAAUGAGCCUUCAAAGCAACAGGAUCUCAGUCCUCCCCCUUUAGAGGGAUGGGUGCCCUCCCACCUGCUACAAUACAAGAAAGAGUCAGAGUGCCAGAGUGUGUGUGGUGCCUGGUGAGAAGAUACGCACAAAAACUGAGGACCAUCUUCAAGGAUGUCAGAAAUAUCUCCUUCCUGCCCAAGGGCUCAUUGGGACCCUGACAGGGCAGGAGGAGGACACAGGAUGGAAACAGCAAAGAAUGGGUCCGAUGAGGACAGAAAGGCUGUUACCUUCAGGAUUCUGCUGGACCCCUGCUUCAGACUCUAGAGUUGGCAAAGUCAGACACGCCCUAGUUUUGCCCCGCAGACGUCUGGUCGGUUCCUCAUACUAGGAGAGAGGGGGCGCUCUGCUCCUAGACUUUCGUGCUUCCGCGGAACUGCAGUUCUGGCUAAGGUCCACAGCGUAGGGCUGGCUUGGGAAGUUCGCUAUGGGUGUUGGUGGAACAACUCCCCUCCCCAUGUCCGAGGUCUCUUUAGGCAGGGUCGUCCCGAUUCCGAGGGAAACAAUGCUUAAACUUCUACCUCGCAGCCUUGCCUGUCGCUAGGUGAGCCUAUUGUGGGUAAGGGUCCUGGAGAGCAAGGGGUCUCAUGUAGCCCCAGCUUGCGGGGGAGGGGCAAGCUGUGCGUUCCGGUCUCUGGGAACUGUGCCCUGUGGGCAUUGUUGUGUCUGACCCAGGUAGGGGCGGAAGGAGGGACAGAAAGAACGGUUACACUUGGGGUUCUCCAGUCAGGGUUGGAAUUCAGACUCAUCCACCUCUGGCACCCAGGAAAAGGCACCCCAGAACCAUCUUUUUAUACGCUUCUGCGAGGUUGGCUUAGUUUGGACCUCCCAAAGAACUAGUGUAAUGCAGGUAUCACUGUGCCCUUUUACAGACAAGAAAGAGGCUGGACACGACACGGUGGACUAGAUUCAAAGCCGGUAGUGCCUAACCCCCUCACUAGAAUCUGGGUUUGUCUGAGGCCAAGUGUGCCAAGACGGAGAGAGUGGAGACCACCAGUCUGGCAAGCCCUGGGACUCCAGAAGCCUUGGGUCCUCAAAGAUGAGACCCGCACAAUGCAGGCAGACCCUCUGGCCGACUAUGGCAGCGCUGGCCCAGCCUCCGCCGCCUCUCUGCUCUUCUAUCCCAGGGGGGUAAUCCAUAGCCCAUUGGAACGGCGGCCUGGGACGCUAGAAGAGGGCGCUGCAGCCUGGGAGUGACAUCCACCCGCACUGCUUCUCUGCUGCAUUUGAGCUUGCCCCCACCCCACCCCCAGGCUGGACAGCGAAGGAUCCCUUCUUGGAGGGUCUGGGGCGCUUGCAGCGAGUAAGGGUCGCCUGUCCAGGUUGUGAAGGACGACAGCUUGGGACAGAGGCAAGGCCUUCAUGGCCCUGAAUAGGGGGCAUCUAGAAGCACCCGGAUCCUACUUUUGGAGCAUGUCGGUGCCAUUUAGCCAUCGUCCCAUGGGGCGAGGGUCUGGGGCACUCACGUGGUGGGAAAGUUUCGAGGUAGCAAAAGUGGUCUGGCAUCGCAGGGCGUGUGUGUGUGUGGGGGGGGUAGAACCUUUUCGCCCCUCCUCGCCAAGACAGAAAGAGAAAGAGCGGAGGGAAGAGGGGGUGAGGGGAGGACCAAGCAGCACCGACCUGCAGAAUCCGCCUCCCCCUCCGCCCCCGGGAAGCCCGAGCAGGGAGGCGCGGACCGUCUCCUCCCGCACGCCCCGGACGACACUCCCCCCCCUUUUUUUUUCCUGCCAACGUCUAUCUCAACGCGCGCGCACAUACGGAGAUUGUGCGGCUUUUUUACCCCUCGGGGAAAAAAGAACAGGGAGUGGAAAGGAAGAGAAGGCAAAGCGAA